CAGCCGCCACGGGAAUACGAAGGGUGCAAGCGUUAAUCGGAAUUACUGGGCGUAAAGCGUGCGUAGGCGGUUUGUUAAGUCUGUUGUGAAAUCCCCGGGCUCAACCUGGGAAUGGCAAUGGAUACUGGCAAGCUAGAGUGUGUCAGAGGAUGGUGGAAUUCCCGGUGUAGCGGUGAAAUGCGUAGAGAUCGGGAGGAACAUCAGUGGCGAAGGCGGCCAUCUGGGACAACACUGACGCUGAGGCACGAAAGCGUGGGGAGCAAACAGGAUUAGAUACCCCAGUAGUCCCUGUCUCUUAUAA
RNAcentral lists this ribosomal RNA (301 nucleotides) under uncultured bacterium. RNAcentral's name for it is "partial 16S ribosomal RNA". It matches the Rfam family "Bacterial small subunit ribosomal RNA", at positions 509 to 809 of the family's 1533-position model. The record is from RNAcentral.